RNAcentral lists this ribosomal RNA (496 nucleotides) under uncultured bacterium. Its description in RNAcentral is "partial 16S ribosomal RNA". It matches the Rfam family "Bacterial small subunit ribosomal RNA", at positions 28 to 507 of the family's 1533-position model. The record is from RNAcentral.
GACGAACGCUGGCGGCGUGCCUAAUACAUGCAAGUUGAGCGAUGAAGAUUGGUGCUUGCACCAAUUUGAAUAGCAGCGAACGGGUGAGUAACGCGUGGGUAAUCUGCCUUUGAGCGGGGGACAACAUUUGGAAACGAAUGCUAAUACCGCAUAACAACUUUAAACAUAAGUUUUAAGUUUGAAAGAUGCAAUUGCAUCACUCAAAGAUGAUCCCGCGUUGUAUUAGCUAGUUGGUAAGGUAAAGGCUCACCAAGGCGAGGAUACAUACCCAACCUGAGAGGGGAUUGGCCCACACUGGACCGGAGACACGCACAAGACCCCAACGGAGGCCAGCGUUGGGGAAUCUCGGCAAUGGAGGGAAGUCUGACCGAGGCAACGCGCGUGAGUGGAGAAGGUUCUCGGAUCGUAAAAACCUGUUGGUAGAGAAGAAAGUAGGUGGGAGUGGACAGUGCACCACGUGACGGUAACUAACCAGAAAGGCACGGCUAACUACGUG